GAUUCCUUGAGAAUCCUAGACACUUCUCGAAGCUUUUUCCAGAUGUGGUAACUUCUUGCAGUGUCAGAGUUUCCUUGCUGUUCCCGUACUUGAGCGUAUGUACUAAGGAAUCAAACUGCUUGGGCAAGCUCGAUAGAACCUGUAUUGCUUGAUCUUCAUCACUGAUUGUAAUGUUCAAGCUCUCCAGAUCAUCUACCAACCUCAAGAAAACAUCCAGAUUGUGUAAGAGACAAAGACACAAGACUUUGUUACCCAGUUCCCG
Molecule: long non-coding RNA, 262 nt
Organism: Brassica napus (rape)
Lineage: Eukaryota; Viridiplantae; Streptophyta; Magnoliopsida; Brassicales; Brassicaceae
Exons: 3
Source: RefSeq, a predicted model, not a curated record